GCCAACGUCCGUUCCCUUCCGCUACGGCAUCUCUAGUGCUGCUCAUCAGCACUGCCCCACCUUUCUUCCUCGUUGUAGCUAUUUACCUUCCUCUUCUGCUACAACUUCCUCUUCUGCUACAGCUUCCUCCUCUAUUGCAGUUUCCUCCUUUGCUGUAGUAGCAUCAUUGCAACAUUGCUGUAGAUUUCUUCUCUACUGUCGCAGCCGUCGUAAUCGCAACCACGACCAACGUCGUUGAGAAAAGCGAAGCUUCGCUCUUGCCUUCGGCCAGCGACCAACGUCGCUGAGAAAAGUGAAGCUUCACCCUUCGGCCAGCGACCAACGCCGUUGUAUUUCUAAGAGGCUCCGUGGUCAAUCCUCAUCUUCCUCACCGCGGUAGUCUUCACUAAUCUGUCAACAUUUGGCAGACUUAAGGAGAAUGAAGGGAACGCCUGUGCCAUCAUAGCAACAGCAAUUGCAGCAGCAGCAGUAGUGAUCUACACUUAUCUUACUCACGAAGCCUCUUGCUUUAAACCAUUUUUUGCACCGAUCCAAGAUUGGUAUCCUUGUUAGGAGCACCAUCUUGCGGGGGCAUGAUAGAAGAUAAGAUUUCCCCAACUUGAUAGAGGAUAAGAUUUCCCCAAUUAUAUGAGGAAAUCUCUCUAUUCUGUUUAUUCUGUUGAGGGAAAUCCUUCCUCCUAAUCUGUAUAAAUAGGAGAGGGAACAUGUUAAUAGAUUUAAGCUAAAGCUAUUUCAUUUCUACAAUAAAGCUUCUUCAAUUAUUGUUCUUAUCUUCUAUUAUUUCUAUCAUGGUAUCAGAGCCGCUUGCCUAGAGCAAGCUCUCUUCUCGCUGCCAAUUCAUCAUUGGUGUUGCCACUCUACGCCAACGUCCGUUCCCUUCCGCUACGGCAUCUCUAGUGCUGCUCAUCAGCACUGCCCCACCUUUCUUCCUCGUUGUAGCUAUUUACCUUCCUCUUCUGCUACAACUUCCUCUUCUGCUACAGCUUCCUCCUCUGUUGCAGUUUCCUCCUUUGCUGUAGUAGCAUCAUUGCAACAUUGCUGUAGAUUUCUUCUCUACUGUCGCAGCCGUCGUAAUCGCAACCACGACCAACGUCGUUGAGAAAAGCGAAGCUUCGCUCUUGCCU
RNAcentral lists this long non-coding RNA (1124 nucleotides) under Musa acuminata (dwarf banana). RNAcentral describes it as "long non-coding RNA (MACU_LNC003249)". Lineage: Eukaryota; Viridiplantae; Streptophyta; Magnoliopsida; Zingiberales; Musaceae. The record is from RNAcentral.